CACGUAGGGUGCGAGCGUUGUCCGGAAUUAUUGGGCGUAAAGAGCUCGUAGGCGGUGUGUCGCGUCGGCCGUGAAAACCUGCAGCUUAACUGUGGGCUUGCGGUCGAUACGGGCAUCACUGGAGUUCGGCAGGGGAGACUGGAAUUCCUGGUGUAGCGGUGAAAUGCGUAGAUAUCUGGAGGAACACCGGUGGCGAAGGCGGCAUUCUGGACCGACAUUGACGCUGAGGAGCGAAAGCCAGGGGAGCAAACGGG
RNAcentral lists this ribosomal RNA (254 nucleotides) under uncultured bacterium. RNAcentral's name for it is "partial 16S ribosomal RNA". It matches the Rfam family "Bacterial small subunit ribosomal RNA", at positions 524 to 776 of the family's 1533-position model. The record is from RNAcentral.